RNAcentral lists this ribosomal RNA (253 nucleotides) under uncultured prokaryote. RNAcentral describes it as "partial 16S ribosomal RNA". It matches the Rfam family "Bacterial small subunit ribosomal RNA", at positions 524 to 776 of the family's 1533-position model. The record is from RNAcentral.
UACGAAGGGGGCGAGCGUUAUUCGGAAUCACUGGGCGUAAAGCGUGCGUAGGCUGCUCUAAAAGUUAGGAGUGAAAGCCCCAGGCUCAACUUGGGAAUUGCUCUUAAUACUGUAGGGCUCGAAUUUGGGAGAGGAUAGCGGAAUUGUCAGUGUAGCAGUGAAAUGCGUAGAUAUUGACAGGAACACCAGUGGCGUAAGCGGCUAUCUGGACCAACAUUGACGCUGAGGCACGAAAGCGUGGGGAUCAAACAGG